GAGUUUGAUCCUGGCUCAGGACGAACGCUGGCGGCGCGCCUAACACAUGCAAGUCGAACGAGCGAGAGAGAGCUUGCUUUCUCGAGCGAGUGGCGAACGGGUGAGUAACGCGUGGGUAACCUGCCUUAUACUGGGGGAUAACAGCCAGAAAUGACUGCUAAUACCGCAUAAGCGCACAGAACCGCAUGGUUCGGUGUGAAAAACUCCGGUGGUAUAAGAUGGACCCGCGUUGGAUUAGCUAGUUGGCAGGGCAGCGGCCUACCAAGGCGACGAUCCAUAGCCGGCCUGAGAGGGUGAACGGCCACAUUGGGACUGAGACACGGCCCAGACUCCUACGGGAGGCAGCAGUGGGGAAUAUUGCACAAUGGGGGAAACCCUGAUGCAGCGACGCCGCGUGAAGGAAGAAGUAUCUCGGUAUGUAAACUUCUAUCAGCAGGGAAGAUAAUGACGGUACCUGACUAAGAAGCCCCGGCUAACUACGUGCCAGCAGCCGCGGUAAUUC
RNAcentral lists this ribosomal RNA (502 nucleotides) under uncultured bacterium. RNAcentral's name for it is "bacterial SSU rRNA". It matches the Rfam family "Bacterial small subunit ribosomal RNA", at positions 9 to 526 of the family's 1533-position model. The record is from RNAcentral.